Molecule: ribosomal RNA, 879 nt
Filed under: uncultured rumen bacterium
Lineage: Bacteria
Description: bacterial SSU rRNA
Rfam family: Bacterial small subunit ribosomal RNA
Source: RNAcentral
GUGCCAGCAGCCGCGGUAAUACGUAGGGAGCGAGCGUUAUCCGGAAUUAUUGGGCGUAAAGGGUGCGUAGAUGGCAAUGAAAGUUUCUUGUUAAAUAGCUAAGCUCAACUUAGCUCUGCAAGGGAUACUACAUAGCUAGAGUAUGGAAGAGGCAAGUGGAACUCCAUGUGUAGCGGUAAAAUGCGUAAAUAUAUGGAAGAACACCAGUGGCGAAGGCGGCUUGCUGGUCCGAUACUGACAUUGAGGCACGAAAGCGUGGGGAGCAAACAGGAUUAGAUACCCUGGUAGUCCACGCCCUAAACGAUGAGUACUAAGUGUUGGCGCAAGUCAGUGCUGAAGUUAACGCAUUAAGUACUCCGCCUGAGUAGUACGUACGCAAGUAUGAAACUUAAAGGAAUUGACGGGAGCCCGCACAAGCGGUGGAGCAUGUUGUUUAAUUCGACGAUACGCGAAGAACCUUACCAGGUCUUGACAUCUCUUGCAAGUCUAUGGAGACAUAGAGGAGGUUAGCAGGAAGACAGGUGGUGCAUGGUUGUCGUCAGCUCGUGUCGUGAGAUGUUGGGUUAAGUCCCGCAACGAGCGCAACCCUUAUUGCUAGUUACUAACAUUAAGUUGAGGACUCUAGCAAGACUGCCAGUGAUAAAUUGGAGGAAGGUGGGGAUGACGUCAAAUCAUCAUGCCCUUUAUGACCUGGGCUACAAACGUGCUACAAUGGCUGAAACAAAGAGAACCGAAGCAGUGAUGUGGAGGGAACCUCAUAAAAACAGUCUCAGUUCGGAUUGAAGUCUGCAACUCGACUUCAUGAAGUUGGAAUCGCUAGUAAUCGCGAAUCAGAAUGUCGCGGUGAAUACGUUCUCGGGCUUUGUACACACCGCCCGU